RNAcentral lists this ribosomal RNA (992 nucleotides) under Mycobacterium tuberculosis. RNAcentral describes it as "bacterial SSU rRNA". It matches the Rfam family "Bacterial small subunit ribosomal RNA", at positions 1 to 990 of the family's 1533-position model. Lineage: Bacteria; Bacillati; Actinomycetota; Actinomycetes; Mycobacteriales; Mycobacteriaceae. The record is from RNAcentral.
UUUGUUUGGAGAGUUUGAUCCUGGCUCAGGACGAACGCUGGCGGCGUGCUUAACACAUGCAAGUCGAACGGAAAGGUCUCUUCGGAGAUACUCGAGUGGCGAACGGGUGAGUAACACGUGGGUGAUCUGCCCUGCACUUCGGGAUAAGCCUGGGAAACUGGGUCUAAUACCGGAUAGGACCACGGGAUGCAUGUCUUGUGGUGGAAAGCGCUUUAGCGGUGUGGGAUGAGCCCGCGGCCUAUCAGCUUGUUGGUGGGGUGACGGCCUACCAAGGCGACGACGGGUAGCCGGCCUGAGAGGGUGUCCGGCCACACUGGGACUGAGAUACGGCCCAGACUCCUACGGGAGGCAGCAGUGGGGAAUAUUGCACAAUGGGCGCAAGCCUGAUGCAGCGACGCCGCGUGGGGGAUGACGGCCUUCGGGUUGUAAACCUCUUUCACCAUCGACGAAGGUCCGGGUUCUCUCGGAUUGACGGUAGGUGGAGAAGAAGCACCGGCCAACUACGUGCCAGCAGCCGCGGUAAUACGUAGGGUGCGAGCGUUGUCCGGAAUUACUGGGCGUAAAGAGCUCGUAGGUGGUUUGUCGCGUUGUUCGUGAAAUCUCACGGCUUAACUGUGAGCGUGCGGGCGAUACGGGCAGACUAGAGUACUGCAGGGGAGACUGGAAUUCCUGGUGUAGCGGUGGAAUGCGCAGAUAUCAGGAGGAACACCGGUGGCGAAGGCGGGUCUCUGGGCAGUAACUGACGCUGAGGAGCGAAAGCGUGGGGAGCGAACAGGAUUAGAUACCCUGGUAGUCCACGCCGUAAACGGUGGGUACUAGGUGUGGGUUUCCUUCCUUGGGAUCCGUGCCGUAGCUAACGCAUUAAGUACCCCGCCUGGGGAGUACGGCCGCAAGGCUAAAACUCGAAGGAAUUGACGGGGGCCCGCACAAGCGGCGGAGCAUGUGGAUUAAUUCGAUGCAACGCGAAGAACCUUACCUGGGUUUGACAUGCA